Molecule: ribosomal RNA, 253 nt
Filed under: uncultured bacterium
Lineage: Bacteria
Description: partial 16S ribosomal RNA
Rfam family: Bacterial small subunit ribosomal RNA
Source: RNAcentral
UACAGAGGUCCCAAGCGUUGUUCGGAUUCACUGGGCGUAAAGGGUGCGUAGGCGGCUGGGUAAGUCUGAUGUGAAAUCUCCGAGCCUAACUCGGAAACUGCAUCGGAUACUAUCCAGCUAGAGGAUUGGAAGGGAGACUGGAAUUCUCGGUGUAGCAGUGAAAUGCGUAGAUAUCGAGAGGAACACCAGUGGCGAAGGCGAGUCUCUGGACAAUUCCUGACGCUGAGGCACGAAAGCCAGGGGAGCAAACGGG